RNAcentral lists this ribosomal RNA (944 nucleotides) under uncultured bacterium. RNAcentral's name for it is "bacterial SSU rRNA". It matches the Rfam family "Bacterial small subunit ribosomal RNA", at positions 8 to 916 of the family's 1533-position model. The record is from RNAcentral.
AGAGUUUGAUCCUGGCUCAGGACGAACGUUGGCGGCGUGCCUUACACAUGCAAGUCGUACGCGAAAGGGGAAACCAGCUUGCUGGGGACCCCCGGUAGAGUGGCGAGCGGGAGCGUAACACGUGAGGAACCUGCCUCGGAGUGGGGAAUAACCCAGAGAAAUCUGGGCUAACUCCGCAUGAUGCAGCGGCCCCGCAUGGGGACAGUUGUUAAAGACCGCCUCUGCUUGCAAGCGGUCGCUUCGAGAUGGCCUCGCGGCCUAUCAGCUAGUUGGCGGGGUAAUGGCCCACCAAGGCGACGACGGGUAGCCGGCCUGAGAGGGUGUCCGGCCUCAUUGGGACUGAGACACGGCCCAGACUCCUACGGGAGGCAGCAGUGAGGAAUCUUGCGCAAUGGGCGAAAGCCUGACGCAGCGACGCCGCGUGAGGGAUGAAGGCCUUCGGGUUGUAAACCUCUGUCAGGGGGGAAGAACCCGGAGUCGGUGAAUAACCGGCUCCGCUGACGGUACCCCCAGAGGAAGCACCGGCUAACUCCGUGCCAGCAGCCGCGGUAAGACGGAGGGUGCAAACGUUGUUCGGAAUCACUGGGCGUAAAGGGCGCGUAGGCGGACUUGUAAGUCGGGAGUGAAAACUCGGGGCUCAACCCCGAGCCUGCUUCUGAAACUGCGAGUCUUGAGGACCGGAGAGGAAAGUGGAAUUCCUAGUGUAGCGGUGGAAUGCGUAGAUAUUAGGAAGAACACCAGUGGCGAAAGCGACUUUCUGGACGGUUCCUGACGCUGAGGCGCGAAAGCUAGGGGAGCAAACAGGAUUAGAUACCCUGGUAGUCCUAGCCGUAAACGAUGAGUGCUAGUGGUGGUAGUUUCAACACUUUCACCGCCGCAGCCAACGCAUUAAGCACUCCGCCUGGGGAGUACGGCCGCAAGUUGAAACUCAAAUGAAUUGACGG